Molecule: ribosomal RNA, 343 nt
Filed under: uncultured Desulfocapsa sp.
Lineage: Bacteria; Pseudomonadati; Thermodesulfobacteriota; Desulfobulbia; Desulfobulbales; Desulfocapsaceae
Description: bacterial SSU rRNA
Rfam family: Bacterial small subunit ribosomal RNA
Source: RNAcentral
UGCUGCAUGGCUGUCGUCAGCUCGUGUCGUGAGAUGUAGGGUUAAGUCCCGCAACGAGCGCAACCCUUGUCUUUAAUUGCCAUCAUUGAGUUGGGCACUUUAAAGAGACUGCCGGUGUUAAACCGGAGGAAGGUGGGGAUGACGUCAAGUCCUCAUGGCCUUUAUGCCCAGGGCUACACACGUGCUACAAUGGGUGGUACAAAGGGCAGCCACUCAACGAUGAGGCGCUAAUCCCAUAAAGCCGGUCUCAGUCCGGAUCGCAGUCUGCAACUCGACUGCGUGAAGUUGGAAUCGCUAGUAAUCGUAGAUCAGCAUGCCUACGGUGAAUACGUUCCCGGGCCUU